GACGAACGCUGGCGGGGGGAGGAACACAUGUAAGUCGAACGGCAAGGCACUGCUUUUGUGGGGUGAUGGAGUGGGGAAGGGGUGAGUAAGAGGUGAGUAAAGUGAUAUUGAUUUUGGGAUAACUUCAGGAAACUGGGGCUAAUACCGGAUAGGAGCUCCCGCUGCAUGGUGGGGGUUGGAAAGUCUCGGCGGUUGGGGAUGGACUCGCGGCUUAUCAGCUUGUUGGUGGGGUAGUGGCUUACCAAGGCUUUGACGGGUAGCCGGCCUGUGAGGGUGACCGGCCACAUUGGGACUGAGAGACGGCCCAGACUCCUACGGGAGGCAGCAGUGGGGAAUAUUGCACAAUGGGCGGAAGCCGGAUGCAGCAACGCCGCGGGCGGGAUGACGGCCUUCGUUGUGUAAACCGCUGUCGCCUGUGACGAAGCGGGAGUGGCGGUAAUGGGUAAAGAAGCACCGGCUCCCUACGUC
This 468-nucleotide ribosomal RNA is filed under the name uncultured bacterium. RNAcentral's name for it is "partial 16S ribosomal RNA". It matches the Rfam family "Bacterial small subunit ribosomal RNA", at positions 28 to 507 of the family's 1533-position model. The record is from RNAcentral.